Molecule: ribosomal RNA, 301 nt
Filed under: uncultured bacterium
Lineage: Bacteria
Description: partial 16S ribosomal RNA
Rfam family: Bacterial small subunit ribosomal RNA
Source: RNAcentral
CAGUAGCCGCGGGAAUACAGAGGGUGCGAGCGUUAAUCGGAAUUACUGGGCGUAAAGCGUGCGUAGGUGGUGGUUUAAGUCCGUUGUGAAAGCCCUGGGCUCAACCUGGGAAUUGCAGUGGAUACUGGGUCACUAGAGUGUGGUAGAGGAUAGUGGAAUUUCCGGUGUAGCAGUGAAAUGCGUAGAGAUCGGAAGGAACAUCUGUGGCGAAGGCGACUAUCUGGGCCAACACUGACACUGAGGCACGAAAGCGUGGGGAGCAAACAGGAUUAGAUACCCCGGUAGUCCCUGUCUCUUAUAC